Molecule: small nucleolar RNA, 135 nt
Organism: Tachyglossus aculeatus (Australian echidna)
Lineage: Eukaryota; Metazoa; Chordata; Mammalia; Monotremata; Tachyglossidae
Source: RefSeq, a predicted model, not a curated record
CACCUCUUAAGGUUGCAUCUAGAGAGUUUCCAGUAUCUACCAGUCUCAACUACGGGAGGUAGAGUCAAGCAGACAUACCUAUUCCAUUCCUAGCGUGGGCAGUGGCUAGCGAGUGGAAGGCAAUCUGCUACAAGU